This 253-nucleotide ribosomal RNA is filed under the name uncultured bacterium. RNAcentral's name for it is "partial 16S ribosomal RNA". It matches the Rfam family "Bacterial small subunit ribosomal RNA", at positions 524 to 776 of the family's 1533-position model. The record is from RNAcentral.
GACAGAGGUGCCGAGCGUUAGGCGGAAUCACUGGGCUUAAAGCGUGUGUAGGCGGGUCGUUAAGUACCUUGUGAAAUCCCCCGGCUCAACCGGGGAACUGCUGGGUAUACUGGCGAUCUUGAGCGAUCUAGGGGCAGAUGGAACAAGUGGUGGAGCGGUGAAAUGCGCAGAUAUCAGGAGGAACACCGGUGGCGAAGGCGGGUCUCUGGGCAACAACUGACGCUGAGGAGCGAAAGCGUGGGGAGCGAACAGG